GGGAGGCAGCAGUGAGGAAUAUUGGACAAUGGAGGCAACUCUGAUCCAGCCAUGCCGCGUGCAGGAAGACUGCCCUAUGGGUUGUAAACUGCUUUUAUACAGGAAGAAACACUGCUACGUGUAGCAGCUUGACGGUACUGUAAGAAUAAGGAUCGGCUAACUCCGUGCCAGCAGCCGCGGU
Molecule: ribosomal RNA, 181 nt
Filed under: uncultured Olleya sp.
Lineage: Bacteria; Pseudomonadati; Bacteroidota; Flavobacteriia; Flavobacteriales; Flavobacteriaceae
Description: partial 16S ribosomal RNA
Rfam family: Bacterial small subunit ribosomal RNA
Source: RNAcentral